GGGCAGAUGGUGAAACGGUCAACACUACCACUUUCGAUGUGGAUAUGAAGGUUCAAAUCCUUCUCUGUGCA
RNAcentral lists this transfer RNA (71 nucleotides) under Laccaria bicolor S238N-H82. RNAcentral's name for it is "tRNA-Arg (TCG) (tRNA-Arg-TCG-6-1)". It matches the Rfam family "tRNA". Rfam says of the family: Transfer RNA (tRNA) molecules are approximately 80 nucleotides in length. Lineage: Eukaryota; Fungi; Basidiomycota; Agaricomycetes; Agaricales; Hydnangiaceae. The record is from RNAcentral.